Molecule: RNA transcript, 2609 nt
Organism: Tripterygium wilfordii
Lineage: Eukaryota; Viridiplantae; Streptophyta; Magnoliopsida; Celastrales; Celastraceae
Gene name: DDT domain-containing protein DDB_G0282237-like
Exons: 10
Source: RefSeq, a predicted model, not a curated record
AAAGAAAAGAGGCACUUUCUUCUUCUCUUAGACGAAUAAAAAUCGGAAAAAAGGGAAAAAUCACAAAACAAGGGGAGCUGUGUCUCUCGUCUCUCACAUUCAACGAAUCCUUUCACUGUUCUUGAUUUGUAUGCCCAAGGCAGCAGCUCCUGAAAUUUUGUGGGCUCUAAUAACAGCAGUGAUAGUGGUUUGUGUGAGCUCAAGAAAUGCCUUUGUUGAAAAGGAAGCCCUUUGAGUUGUCGGAACUGCCUAAUGAUUUGGAGCCUGAUGAGCUUGUGUAUCAGAUUCGGUUUUCAAAGGAGAUAUUUCGGGAUUAUCCAGCAUAUUUGAAUAGGAUAAACCUAUAUCGACAAAGACUUUGGUCGUGUAAAUUCACUGGAAAAGCUAACUUGACAUAUGAAGAGGCUAUGGUGUCAGAGAAGCGUGCUACUGAAAAGGUGCAAGAGUUACCAAAGGAGCUAUUGGCCCCUGCCCUGCUUAUAAUUCAAUUUAGCAUGCUUUCAUUGAAAGAUCUUGCUGACACAAUAGCUACAAAGUUGCAAGACUGUCUGUUUGUUGGUGCUGAACUUCUAGGAAGAAAGGACGGUGGUCUUUUUUUUUGUAAGAUACUAAAGGCCGUGGAGGGUGGUGAUAAAGCCAGAUAUGAGGUAGCAUGGCUUGACAGAUAUAAGAAAGUUGUGGAGAAUACAAUAGCGAAUAGAGAAGACCUGGUAUGCAGGAAGCUGCCAUUUAGUAGACAAGUUUUAAAAUCUUUCAUACGGGAGUCUACAUAUAGAAGUUCUCCUUGGGUGCUUCAUGAUAAAUUGGCUCAAAAGCAUGAAAUCUCUACCAAUCCUCCAGAGGAGUUAAGAAGUAAAGUUUUUGUUCAAGAUGGACUUAUAGUCUGCCAUAAGAAGAGAAGGAAAACUGAGGAUGACGAAAAUAACUCUGGGUUGAUUGCAGAUGACUAUGAAGGCGAUAGGUCAAAGGAAAAUUCAAUCAAAUAUCCAAUUGAUGAUAUGCUGGUGAAGCCCGGCUCUGAUGAUCCAGUUUUUACUGAUCGUCCUCAUCCAACAAAGGAUUUUAAAGUCUCUAUGGAUUGUGUUGGUGAUCUUCUGUUGGUUUGGGAUUUUUGUUCUUCAUUUGGCAAACUGUUGCAAUUGUGGCGAUUCUCUCUCGAGAAUUUUGAAAAUGCUCUCUGCCAUAAAGACAGUAAUCUUGCUCUCAUUAUGGAACUACAUUCAGCAUUUCUUAGGUUGCUCAUAAAAGACAGUGGUCAAUAUCUUUCUGCGGUAGAGAACAAGGGCCGUAAAUUGAAGAUUACGUUAAUCAACUGGACAGAGUACUUGUGCGAUUUCUUGGAAAUGGGCAACGCUCCUGAAUUAUGUACUCAUGUUACACCUAUCAAGCGGGGGCGUUAUGGCCUUCUAGAUGCUCAAGCUAAAUUGGCAAUCUUACAAGAAUUGAUUAAUCAUGCACUCGAAACAGAUAUUUUUAAGGAGAAGAUGGGCGAAUAUAUUGAAGAGCGACAGGCACUUGGGGCCACAAGAAGGGGGGAAGCAUUGGAAGAAGCUAGAAAGAAAAGAGAAGAGAAGGAACGGUUGAAGGCUCAAUCUGUUGUCAAUGGAGUAAUUGGUGAGCAUACUUCAGAGAAUGGAAGUAAUUUAGAGGUGGUGGUGAAAGAUGAUCAUAUUAAACGCAAUGGAGAAUUAGUGAAUGAAACAAAUGGGGAGAUCAUUUCAUCUCAAGAUAACCAUACAUCAGGAAAAAGCAAUGAAAGGCACAAUUUGAAAACUGGGUCAAAAAAGAUGGCAAAGCAGCAGAUUAUGCGUCUAAAAGCCCGAGCUAGAGACGCUGAAGAUCCAUCUGGCGAGGAUUCACCGAAACAGUUGAAAAAUGAUAAUAAUGGAGCAACAUAUAGGAAGAGCAAAGAACAGAGGAAAGAAAUGUAUGAACGGGAGAUGCAAAAACGAUACAUACGCACCAACCCUUUGGGUAAAGACAGAAAUUACACUAGGUAUUGGUGGUUUCGGCGUGAUGGGAGGAUAUUUGUUGAGACUUCUGACUUUAAGCAGUGGGGCUACUAUAACACCAAAGAAGAGUUGACAUGUUUGAACAGCUUGAUGCAUUGAUUGGUUCGUUAAAUCUGAAGGGUGAGAGGGAAAGGGCUCUCAAGAAACAACUGGAAACAUAUUACGGAAAAAUAUGCACGGAACUUCAAAAGCAAUCAAAGGAUUUUACUGGGAAGAUUGCCAUGGAGGAAGAAGAAGUGGUUAGGAGAUCUACCCGUGUACGGGUGCCACCUGGAGAAAACCCAGCUAAUGCCUUCCUCCGGUAUAUUAACAAGUGGAAAGAAGACUAACCAGGGUUGAGAUAGCGCUGAAGGUGGCCCAGGAUCCAUCCAAUUGAUAUAGGUCCUUGAUUGCUGGUUACUCUGCAAUGGAAGAUAGAGAGUAGGAAUUUUUUUGAUGACUUAGUUACCUGUUUGAUUGUUAAUUCAGUGGGGAUGCAGGAGUCAAGGCAUAGGGUGUAAUUGGUGAGAGGGAAGGGGAAGGGAGAGGAGCAAUUUUGUCCCCCUUCCUCUGACAAUUGACAACCACGUAUCUCCACUUGAUCCUCCCAUUUUCUCA